UCAUAUCUGCAGGAUACUCGCUAAUACUGUCACGAUAGCUAUAUAAAUUAGUCAAUACGAGUUACAGAUUAAAUAUUCACACAAAAUUAUUAUAUUGGAUGAAAAUUCAUCGAGAAUUAUAGAUUCUAAUAAUUAUCAUCGUACUCCGGCGUUGAAUACGGCGUACGUCUCAUCAUGAGAAAACGUGGCAUCCAGAUCAAGAAUACUUGCCGCACCCAAGGAGACAUAUUAUGCGUCGACGGCGAGCUGCGUAUAAAUCAAGUUUUCAAUUAAGUGUGAUCCGUGGGAUUGCUAGCGACGUCGGUGGAAUGAUUUCAGCAAGCAACAAAAAGAAUACUGUCAACGACAGAAGAAUGGACGAGCACAAUGAAACCUGAAAUUAAGGCAGUAAAAUGUAUGAAAUUCUGUAAAAGUUUUUUUGUGGGAUAAUACUUUUGGGUAAUUAACACAAUAAUAGAUAUAAAUCAAGAAAUAAGUUUGGUAAACAA
This 488-nucleotide long non-coding RNA is filed under the name Venturia canescens. RNAcentral's name for it is "uncharacterized LOC122412651, transcript variant X2". Lineage: Eukaryota; Metazoa; Arthropoda; Insecta; Hymenoptera; Ichneumonidae. The record is from RNAcentral.